Molecule: long non-coding RNA, 6874 nt
Filed under: Lactuca sativa (garden lettuce)
Lineage: Eukaryota; Viridiplantae; Streptophyta; Magnoliopsida; Asterales; Asteraceae
Description: long non-coding RNA (LSAT_LNC009251)
Source: RNAcentral
AAAAAAAAACAAUAAUUAAAAAUGUUAAAAAGGGGCCGUAAGCACUCACCUUUGAAGUGUGAGUUUCAAUCGAUUGAAUUAGGUUUCUUUGAGAUGCUUGACGUGAGAAACCCUAAAUCCACAAUUCUUGAACUUUGAAACACUUUGGGUCCAUUUUGUAACAAAUUUAAACAAUUAGGGGUUGUUUGGUAAUUUAAUUAACCAAAAUAGGAUUGCUUUGAUUAAAAUAAAUAAAAAGAGGGACUGAAAUGGUUUAAAUUGAAAUUAUGUUUGAAAAAUGGACAGAUUUUGUUAAGGAUUUUUAAUGAAGGGGCUGAAAUGCUAAUUUUUAUUCAAAGUUUGAAGGUUGUCAUUUAUUAUGUUAAAAUAAACCAAAUGAGGGGCUGUUUUGUUUAAAAUACCCNNNNNNNNNNNNNNNNNNNNNNNNNNNNNNNNNNNNNNNNNNNNNNNNNNNNNNNNNNNNNNNNNNNNNNNNNNNNNNNNNNNNNNNNNNNNNNNNNNNNCCCUGACAAAGUCAAGGUUUUACAAACCGCUAACAAUGAAGGCUAUAAAGCUCUUGAAGAAGAGUAUGAUGGUACGCAACAUGUUUUUAUAUAUCAUGUUGAGACAGAAUCUUCAUCAGACACUGAAGAAUACGAAUCAACAACGGAUGACUCAGACUAGUCCCAUACAUACCUCGCUUUUCAGGGAGGAGGAAAUUAACCAUUUUUGCGUAAACCUCCAGAAGAUUAAUGAUUCCCUUAUCAUGAAUCUUACUAAUCCAAACUCUAUUUAUGUUUCUUCCUUCCUUAACUUUAAAGGAUAUAAAAAAUUUAGAGUACAUUGUUUUGUAGACACAGGUGCAUCUUUAUGUCUUGCAAGCAAAUUCAUCAUUCCGGAUGAACUCUGGGAAAACGCUCCCAAAGAAAUUAGUGCCACUAUUGCAAAUGGUGAAACCAUAAAAAUUAAUAAAGUUUGUAGAAAUAUUAAUCUCGAACUUUCAGGAGAACAUUUCAAUGUUCCCACUAUUUACCAACAAAAUUCAGGAAUUGAUAUCAUAAUUGGUAACAACUUCUGUCAAGUCUAUGGACCAUUCAUACAAUGGAUAGAUAGAAUUGCCUUUCAUCUUAAUAAUGAUAUGGUAAUUAUAAAAAAGGCUACAGAGGCCUAUAGCAAAGGAAAACCAGGUUUUCUUGAAAGUCAAGAAAAAGGUUCUAAAGAAAAACAAAUUCCAGGUACUAAUAUAACUCAUGAAGAGAUUAAUAAAGAAAGGAUUAUUUCUAUUCAAACUACCAGGUUCAAACAGAUUGAAGAUCUUCUUGAAAAAGUUUGUUCUGAAAAUCCUAUUGAUCCAAAUAAAACCAAAGGAUGGAUGAAAGCUUCAAUCAAGCUUAUUGAUCCCAAAACGGUUAUUAGAGAAAAACCUAUGGUUUACUCUCUACAAGAUAGAGAAGAAUUUUCCAAACAAAUCAAAGAAUUACUUGAUAUGAGACUAAUUAUAGAAUCAAAAUCCCCUCAUAUGUCCCCUGCCUUUCUUGUCAAUAAAGAAGCAGAGAAAAGAAGAGGAAAGAAGCGAAUGGUUGUUAACUACAAAGCAAUCAAUGAUGCAACUAUUGGAGACUCACAUAAUCUCCCCAAUAUGCACGAACUCUUGACUCUUCUACGAGGAAAAAACAUUUAUUCAAGUUUCGACUGCAAGUCAGGUUUCUGGCAAGUUCUACUUGAUGAAGAAUCGCAGCUUCUCACUGCCUUCACAUGUCCUGAUGGACUCUUUCAAUGGAAAGUACUACCCUUUGGGCUUAAACAAGCUCCUAGUAUUUUUCAAAGACACAUGCAGAAUGCUCUUCGAGGCCUUGAAGGUUUCUGCACUGUAUACGUUGAUGACAUCAUGAUCUUCAGCAAAAAUGAACAAGAACACUAUGUUCAUGUCACACAGGUUCUCAGAACUAUUUUAAAAUAUGGUAUAAUACUUUCAAAAAAGAAAGCUCAUCUUUUCAAAACAAAAAUCAAUUUUUUAGGUUUAGAAAUAAAUGAAGGUACCCAUUGUCCUCAAAAGCAUAUUCUUGAACAUUUACAUGACUUUCCAAAUGUUUUAGAAGACAAAAAGCAACUACAAAGAUUUCUUGGUGUUUUAACUUAUGCUGAAACAUAUAUUGAAAAACUUGCAGCCAUGAGAAAACCUUUACAGGCAAAAUUAAAAAAAGAUGUCAUUUGGAAUUGGUCAAAUGCUGAUACAGACUACAUCAAAAAGAUAAAGAAAGUUUUAAUCAAUUUUCCAAAACUUUAUCUUCCAAACAUUGAAGACAGUUUAAUUAUUGAAACUGAUGCUUCUGAUGAAUUUUGGGGAGGUGUUUUAAAAGCUAAAAACCCCAAAAACGAAGAACAAAUUUGCAGGUACACCUCCGGAAGUUUCAAAGCAGCUGAGAAAAACUACCAUAGUAACGAAAAAGAAUUACUCGCUGUAAAAAGAGUUAUUACAAAAUUCUCUGUAUAUUUAACACCAGUAAAUUUCCUGGUUCGUACAGAUAAUAAAAAUUUUACUUAUUUCCUCCGAACUAAGAUUGCAGGAGAUAACAAAUUAGGCCGGCUAAUACGUUGGCAAGAGUGGUUUUCACGAUAUACUUUCACUGUUGAACAUCUCGCAGGAAACAAAAACGUACUGGCAGACUGCCUCACCCGUGACUUCAGGUAUACCUUACAUCAUCCAUGAUCUCACUCGCUCCUCUCGAGCCCUAUAAAAGGAUAUGAUCCUCAAGACAUAUUUCCUCACAAAUACUUCACCUACAAAAAGAGAGGGGGAGAUUAGAGAAAAAAGUAAACAAAAUUUGAGUUUACAAAAAUGGAAGACCUCAACACUUUGAGGAUGAAGAAACAAAUGCUCCUCAUAGAGCUAUCUGCAAUUGAGCAGAAAAUCAACUUGUAUGAACAAGUAACAACGGUCACCAAUGUACCGGAAAGCGAAAGCUCAAAAACAAAGGCUAUUCCAGUGCAAACGGCACCUGGUAAAGAAUCAACAAAUCCGUUGAAAGCUGAUGCUUUGCUAAAAAGCAUAAUAAAGGAGACAGCUACUCCUCUUCCUGAUGGAAAAACUAGCUUGUUGGUUGAUACCAAUCCUUGUACUGAAGGAAUCAGUAAAAUGACAACUUUGUCACCCAUUAACAAAUCUGUGCAGGAGUUUACACCAGAUUACAAAAAAGCUCUUAACAAAGAAGCUGAAAGAUUUUAUGUAAUCUACAAAGGACCUCAUGCCGGUGUUCAUACUGACUGGGGAAUUACAGAAACAUUCUGUAAAGUUGAUAAAGUUACUUGCAAAAAAUUCAGAAAUGAAGCAUCUGCAAGAUUAAGCCUUGCCACUUAUCAAGACGAUACAAGCAAGACUAACCAACCACUUCUUCGACCAAAAAUUCAUAAAGUCAAAGAAGCUCACAGAGACCAAAGGUUUGACGUUCCAAAUAACGUUCAACAAAUGGUUAACCAUCCUGAAAUCUCUUUCGAAGACUUCAGAACAAUCUGGAAGAAAGCAAGAGCUGCAUGCCCAGAAGACCUUGUUCAUGAAAAGUUUUUCACUACGGACAAGAAAACAAAAAGUCUGUUCAACUUCCUCGAAGGAUCAGAUGCAAAAUUAGUCUACCAAGCCUUUCAAGCUGGACUAAUUGACAAUAUCUACCCAAGUUGCAACCUUCAAGAACUCAUUUUCUUCCCAAGCAACAUGGUAGAAUCCAUUAAAAACUUUCGAAAGAAAGUACUUAAAGCAAAAGAUAAUCCGAUCUACAUCAGAUGCAUCUCUUCACUCCCAGAAUGGAUUCAAGAAUCAACUCUUUCUCCAUACCACUUUCUGGAAAUUGGUCUUUCUAAAGCCAAUAGAGAUAUUGAACAAUCUCAACCAAUGGAAGACAAAGAUCUACCUUUUACAGAGAUUCUUCAUCCCAAUCGCAUCAAUGGUUUAAGAAGAAUAUCAGAAAAAAUCAUCGAGAUUAUCUCUGGUUCAAAAAAGAAGAUUAAUUAUACCGACUCACAUUGUAUAAUUACAAGCUGGAGUUACAACAACACCAGCCAAGAAGAUCUUCGUCAAGCCUCCAAGUUUGGCGAAAAAUUCAUGAACAAUAGCAUGGAAGUAUCCAAUGCUACACGCCAACACUUUUGCCGACAUGCAGAACAACUUUUCGAAGAACAUCUUUGUCACUUUUGCGAAAGCAAAGAUUCGGAGACAAAGGAGGGACCCUCCUCUGAAGAUGACAAAUCAUCAUCAUCUUAAAGAAAGAUGCUUCACGUGUCAAAUGGCCCCAGCCACUCAAAAUAAUAAUGCCCUUCUCCAUUAUUAGAAGCUUUCCAGCUGUCCACAAUAAUGUAACCUUUAGUGGAUAAAAACGUCAUGCCUGACAUAAUAGGCAAGGAUCAGACCCUCUCAAUGUAUCUAUAAAUUGAGAGUUAUGUUUUGUUUUAGGGGGAUCGCAAGAACGAGUGCAAGAAAAAACACUCUCUAUCUAGUAAAUUUUCAGUUCAAUGUCUAGUGAGUAAUUCCUCCCUUAGAAGGGGAAAAAUGUAAAAUAUUGUAAGAGUCUUCCCAUUUUGGGAACUCUGUUAUCAAUAAAUCUUUGUUUUGUUAUUUUUGAGUGUUCAUACAAUUUAGAGUGAUGAAACUUGUAAGUGACAGAGUGUCAGGUCGACGAUGAUUAACAGUACCACAGGCACCAUGCCAACAGGGAAAGCAACCACACAGACCAAUGAACGACACAGGCUGGCUUGAAUAGUUUCUAUCCAUGUAAGUAUAACACUCACCACAUCACAAUUACACAUUUAUUGAUACAAGAGUCAUCUUUUCACAAUUUUUAUAUUUAUUCCCUUCUUUGUUAAAACACAAAUUCCGUACACAUCCACACACCCAAACUGGUAUCAGAGCCUUGAUAAAUAUGGCAUUACAUUAUAAUAAAACACUUUACAGAGUAAAGUUUGAACAUAUUCAUAAUAAAGAGAUUGAAAUAAAUCACCAUAAAGAAAUACUUUUCAAUAAUAAAAAAGACUUGGUGCAUAUAGAUUUCAGAAUUCUACAAGCACAAAAUAAACAUACUCACGAAUAUAUACCAAACUUGGUUAAUAUACGUAUGUAUCUCCUGCAUAAGCAAAAAGUACAUCAAGAACAUCUUGAUAGAAAUAAAAAAUUAGUUUCAAAACUCAGAAAGUUUAUUUUAACUUGUUAGCUUUUCUUAAAAUGAAUAAUGAAAUUUUCAACAACACUGAAGAAAAUAAUUCAGAAGAAAAACAAAUCUUAACUUAUGUUGAAGAUGAAGACGGCUUCCAUGCAAAUCUUUUAAUAAAACAAGACCUUCUCUCUAGAGUUAAGAAAAUUGAUUUNUGUUAAAAAGGGGCCGUAAGCACUCACCUUUGAAGUGUGAGUUUCAAUCGAUUGAAUUAGGUUUCUUUGAGAUGCUUGACGUGAGAAACCCUAAAUCCACAAUUCUUGAACUUUGAAACACUUUGGGUCCAUUUUGUAACAAAUUUAAACAAUUAGGGGUUGUUUGGUAAUUUAAUUAACCAAAAUAGGAUUGCUUUGAUUAAAAUAAAUAAAAAGAGGGACUGAAAUGGUUUAAAUUGAAAUUAUGUUUGAAAAAUGGACAGAUUUUGUUAAGGAUUUUUAAUGAAGGGGCUGAAAUGCUAAUUUUUAUUCAAAGUUUGAAGGUUGUCAUUUAUUAUGUUAAAAUAAACCAAAUGAGGGGCUGUUUUGUUUAAAAUACCCCAAUGUUUGGGAAAAAUGGGCUUCUUUUAAAAAGAUGUUGCUGCAGGGGGUUUAUUGGGUCAUUUUUUAAAUUCAAAAGGAUUUUUAUGGCUUUCUUUUUACACCCGUCGUCAUUUGUUCGAUUAGUCACAGAAGGAUACGAUCGGGCGACGAAGGAAAAGGGGUUACGGGAGCAACGAAAUCAGACGGCGAGAAAGAAGCUCGCAGGCGCGCGGCUGCUACUCCGGAGGUCCUGGCCGAUCGAGAAGAGGGAGGCGGCUCCGGUGCUUGGCCGAACCGAAGGAGGAGAAGAGACGAAAGCAGCGAGGCUAUCUCUUUCUCGUGCGGCGAUUGCAGACUCAUCGCACCCGAAUGGCAUGCUCCAGUGGUCGAUUAGACUGAAGAAAAGGAACGGUCCAUGGGUGUUGCGAGCAGCAGCAGUGACGAGGUGAGACCUUCGGAGGUCUGGGGUUGUUGGGGACAGAAGUGGAUGAAGGCGAGGGCAGAGGAGGUCUCGGUGGUGUUUGCUCUACAGUCGCGAUGUUCCCCCUCUCGUUUUGACAGUUCCGAUCAACAAUAAGUAAGAAGUUUCUUUUGGGAUUUUGUUUGUUUUAACAUGAAUCUAUGGAAUGAACAAAAUAGAUAUUUGGGUUUGCUUUUGACAGAAAAUCGAUAGGCUUAAGUGGGUGCUUGGUUUUGGUUCAUGACAAGAAAGAAGGAAAAACGGAAGAGGAGUCAAGGAUGGCAGCAACUUCGAGGGGCAGGAGGAUCGUGAGGGAUAGAGAUUUUGAGUGAUCCUUUUUUUUUUUUUUUUUUUUUUUGAAUGCUUGAGUAUUUCGGUCGACAGGGAAAGAAAAUGAAUCAAGAAAAAAAAAGGUCUUGUUCUUCUUCUGGGUUGCUCACGAAUAGAAGAAGAUCAAGUGGUUUUGAGUGUUUAAUUGGUUAAAGGAGGUGUCCAAGAAUCAUUUUUUCUUGAGUGUAGAAUUUAUGUAUCUUAGGUGAGAUUUAGAAGCAAUAUCAUUUAUAAUGAAUUUGUUUGUGUGUGAACUUGGGUAAAUGGUAAUGUGGAAGCAAUGUUAUUCGGCUGUCAAUUUCUAUGUAUUUGGUUUAACUUGCAAUCAAUUUGUAAAUCAAUAAGUAUGUAAUUUAUUUGGGUAAAUGGUAAUGUGGAAGGAAUUUUAU